AAUCAUCAUUUGUAUAUUUAGAGAGAGUAAUUAUUUUAAUUUCAAAACAUAAUUUUAGGCAAAGGAGAAAGAGAAUGCAAAAACUCAGUCCUUAGAAACAAAAAAAGAACUAGAAGAAUGUCAAAGGCAUUUAUCUCAGGGGAAUAACAGAUUAAAAGAGUUAGAAGCACAACUUAAUUUGUCAAAAGAUACAAUAGCUCGUCUUGAAUCUGAAAGAACAGAACUGUGUG
Molecule: long non-coding RNA, 230 nt
Organism: Centruroides sculpturatus (bark scorpion)
Lineage: Eukaryota; Metazoa; Arthropoda; Arachnida; Scorpiones; Buthidae
Exons: 2
Source: RefSeq, a predicted model, not a curated record